AAAUCUUAUCGUCGCCAUUCAACAUCUAACACCGACCAUUCCUAGUGCAAGUGACAAAAAAAUUGACGGUUGAUAUCUGUUAAAUAUAAAAAUUUAAAAUCUACUACAGAAUAACAGUUAUUUUGUAUUAUUUAAUAUUGUAUUAAAGUAGGAGGUAUUGAGUUUGAAUCAGUCCAGACUCUUAGUAUUAUUGAUUUCCUCCUAUUUAAUUUACGUCCGCAUUAUUGAUUUUUUUCCUAUUUAACUCACAUCCAACGACGUCAUGAACCUAGUAAAAAGUCUCAAAACUAAAACACCCAGUUGUGAGGGGAGUGUUAAACACUAUUUUCUACUUGUGACCAUAGUUAGUUAAUUCGGAUUCGGCAAAAAUUCGGUACGGGUAUAAUACGUAUAAAAUUUGUUUUCUAAUUUUUAAAUUCGUUGAAAAAUUCGGCUUAAAAACGGAUUCGGUGUAAAAUAUAAGAUAUAAGAUAUAAAAUAUAAGAUAAUUUAUAUUUAAAUAUAAAAAUUAUAUGUUUUUUAUUCAUAUUUUUAAUAAUUCGGGAAUAAUUCGUGAAUAAUUCGGCUGGUCCAAAAAUUCGCGAAUAAUUCUCUAUCUUUGAAAAAAAUUCGUAAACGGACCGUUUAAUUCGGAUUUUCAAUAAUUCGCUAAUAAUUCGCGAAUUAACUAACAUAUCUUGUGACACCUCAAGAUUUAGAAUAGUUAUAUAUAAAGGAUAUAAUAAGAUUAAACCUCUUAACUUGACUAUAGUAUUUCGAAUAGCGUUUAAGUCUAAAAGGUUAAGAAGGUUAAGUAUGCUAGGGUUGGAGUAGUUCUAAGAUAAAUGACUCCCUGAAAAUGGGGCGUCAAAGUUGGCACCAAAUCCAAUUAUCUAACAAAAUUUUGAGAUCAGUUUCGACUGAGUUAGGAUUAUACAACAUGUAAAGCAUU
This 931-nucleotide long non-coding RNA is filed under the name Ananas comosus (pineapple). RNAcentral describes it as "long non-coding RNA (ACOM_LNC011685)". The record is from RNAcentral. Lineage: Eukaryota; Viridiplantae; Streptophyta; Magnoliopsida; Poales; Bromeliaceae.